RNAcentral lists this ribosomal RNA (462 nucleotides) under uncultured bacterium. RNAcentral describes it as "partial 16S ribosomal RNA". It matches the Rfam family "Bacterial small subunit ribosomal RNA", at positions 28 to 507 of the family's 1533-position model. The record is from RNAcentral.
GAUAAACGCUGGCGGCGUGCUUAACACAUGCAAGUCGAACGAAGUUUUUCCUUCGGGAGCAACUUAGUGGCGGACGGGUGAGUAACGCGUGGGUAACCUGCCCUGUACAGGGGGACAACAGCUGUAAACGGCUGCUAAUACCGCAUAAGCCCUUAGCACUGCAUGGUGCAUAGGGAAAGGGAGCAAUCCGGUACAGGAUGGACCCGCGUCUGAUUAGCCAGUUGGCAGGGUAACGGCCUACCAAAGCGACGAUCAGUAGCCGAUCUGAGAGGAUGUACGGCCACAGUGGGACUGAGACACGGCCCAGACUCCUACGGGAGGCAGCAGUGGGGAAUAUUGCACAAUGGAGGAAACUCUGAUGCAGCGACGCCGCGUGAGUGAAGAAGUAUUUCGGUAUGUAAAGCUCUAUCAGCAGGGAAGAAAGUGACGGUACCUGACUAAGAAGCACCGGCUAAAUACGUG